This is a non-coding RNA of Stegodyphus mimosarum, 71 nucleotides long. The record is from Rfam. Lineage: Eukaryota; Metazoa; Arthropoda; Arachnida; Araneae; Eresidae.
GCUUUCGUGGCGUAACGGUAGCACACUCGGCGCAUAUUCGAGAGGUCCAGGUUGGAGUCCCGGCGAGGGCA